Long non-coding RNA from Rhagoletis zephyria (snowberry fruit fly), 97 nucleotides. RefSeq lists it as uncharacterized. The record is from RefSeq and is a predicted model, not a curated record. Lineage: Eukaryota; Metazoa; Arthropoda; Insecta; Diptera; Tephritidae.
ACAUAUGAAGACACUGUCGAAUAAAUUGAAAUCAAAUCGUGCAUCAAAUCAAUGCAUGUCAACACAAGAGGCAAUAUUAAAUAUAUACUGCAAAAAC